GAUGAACGCUGGCGGCGUGCCUAAUACAUGCAAGUCGAGCGAACAGACGAGGAGCUUGCUCCUCUGACGUUAGCGGCGGACGGGUGAGUAACACGUGGAUAACCUACCUAUAAGACUGGGAUAACUUCGGGAAACCGGAGCUAGUACCGGAUAAUAUAUUGAACCGCAUGGUUCAAUAAUGAAAGACGGUUUUGCUGUCACUUAUAGAUGGAUCCGCGCCGCAUUAGCUAGUUGGUAAGGUAACGGCUUACCAAGGCAACGAUGCGUAGCCGACCUGAGAGGGUGAUCGGCCACACUGGAACUGAGACACGGUCCAGACUCCUACGGGAGGCAGCAGUAGGGAAUCUUCCGCAAUGGGCGAAAGCUUGACGGAGCAACGCCGCGUGAGUGAUGAAGGUCUUCGGAUCGUAAAACUCUGUUAUUAGGGAAGAACAAAUGUGUAAGUAACUAUGCACGUCUUGACGGUACCUAAUCAGAAAGCCACGGCUAACUACGUG
Molecule: ribosomal RNA, 497 nt
Filed under: uncultured bacterium
Lineage: Bacteria
Description: partial 16S ribosomal RNA
Rfam family: Bacterial small subunit ribosomal RNA
Source: RNAcentral